Molecule: ribosomal RNA, 253 nt
Filed under: uncultured bacterium
Lineage: Bacteria
Description: partial 16S ribosomal RNA
Rfam family: Bacterial small subunit ribosomal RNA
Source: RNAcentral
UACAGAGGGUGCAAGCGUUGCUCGGAAUCAUUGGGCGUAAAGGGUAGGUAGGUGGUCUCAUUUGUCUGGGGUGAAAGCCUUGGGCUUAACCCAAGAAGUGCCCCAGAAACGGUGAGACUCGAGUACUGGAGAGGGUCGUGGAAUUCCCGGUGUAGCGGUGAAAUGCGUAGAGAUCGGGAGGAACACCAGAGGCGAAGGCGGCGACCUGGACAGUAACUGACACUCAACUACGAAAGCGUGGGGAGCAAACAGG